GCGCAGCGUGCCUAACCGGCGUAACCGUAACCUCAGCCCUCCUCCGGGUCUGUGCGACCCAGAGAAAAGUUCAGCACUGACUGCAUGUGUGGCAGACAGGGCUGUGGGUCGUAGUUUGUCCCUCAUGGUGUUCCAUAGGUAAAUAUUCAUGGCCAGCACCUGUCUGCUGAGCUGUGAUUGGCUCACAAGGCUGAUAAAUAGCAGCUGUGGGAGUUCCAUCUAGAUGCUGGUUUCCUGGUUUGGCCUUGGUGGGUGAGCUUGACAUGUGGACCUUUUUUACUGAAGCUUUUAAUCAUUUGAGUCCUUUUACUAAAGUUUUUAAGCAUUUGAGUUUGCAACAUUUUAAAUUCUAUUUAUAUUAACAGGUGGUGGCAUGAGUUCUGAGCCUGGGGCAUGAGAGUAUCUUGGUGGUUGGACCUGGCUGAAGGUGGCUGCCUUCUCCUUUUAUCCUUAUGGUAGCUGGUGGGUGCCAUAUAUAGUAUUGUGUAAGGGGGACCCCCCCCCUGUUUUCGGCCCAUAAAUUAGUGGUGACCUGCUCAGGUGCACCUCUUCUGUUUUGUAUUUUCUUUUAAUCACUGUUUGGGUUGUAGUGUGUUUUUGUGUGCAUUUGGGCCCUGAGCAGGUACUCCUGGUGAGGGUUUGGAUCAGAUCUCCCUUGGUGGUGUUUGGGGCUACCCACCGGUACAGUGGGGCUGAGGCGAUCCUGGAGGCAGCCGCCCUCAUGCAGUGUUGGAGUGCGGUCCAACUGUCUGAGUUUAUUUUAACCUUUUUUAUGGAAAUUGUGUCAAGUUUUUAAUAAAUUGUAUAUUUUUAACCAC
Oryzias latipes (Japanese medaka) is the source of this 818-nucleotide non-coding RNA. NCBI's taxonomy places the organism in Eukaryota, Metazoa, Chordata, Actinopteri, Beloniformes, Adrianichthyidae. The record is from RefSeq and is a predicted model, not a curated record.